GUGGGGAAUAUUGGGCAAUGGGGGAAACCCUGACCCAGCGACGCCGCGUGAGGGAAGACGGCCUUCGGGUUGUAAACCUCUUUUGUACGGGAAGAAGGAAGUGACGGUACUGUACGAAUAAGUCCCGUCUAACUACGUGCCAGCAGCCGCGGUAAUACGUAGGGGACGAGCGUUGUCCGGAAUUACUGGGCGUAAAGGGCGCGCAGGCUGUGCUGCAAGUCAGCUGUGAAAUGUCUGGGCUUAACCCGGGCAUGCGGUUGAGACUGCAGUGCUGGAGUGCUGUAGAGGCAAGUGGAAUUCCCAGUGUAGCGGUGAAAUGCGUAGAUAUUGGGAAGAACACCGGUGGCGAAGGCGACUUGCUGGGCAGCAACUGACGCUGAGGCGCGAAAGCCAGGGGAGCAAACGGGAUUAGAAACCCGUGUAGUCC
Molecule: ribosomal RNA, 427 nt
Filed under: uncultured bacterium
Lineage: Bacteria
Description: partial 16S ribosomal RNA
Rfam family: Bacterial small subunit ribosomal RNA
Source: RNAcentral